This 253-nucleotide ribosomal RNA is filed under the name uncultured bacterium. RNAcentral describes it as "partial 16S ribosomal RNA". It matches the Rfam family "Bacterial small subunit ribosomal RNA", at positions 524 to 776 of the family's 1533-position model. The record is from RNAcentral.
UACGGAGGGUGCGAGCGUUGUCCGGAAUCACUGGGCGUAAAGGGCGCGUAGGUGGCACGGUAAGCGUGUGGUGAAAGCUCGGGGCUCAACCCCGAGUCGGCCAUGCGAACUGCUGCGCUUGAGCACUGUAGAGGCAGACGGAAUUCCGGGUGUAGCGGUGGAAUGCGUAGAGAUCCGGAAGAACACCGGUGGCGAAGGCGGUCUGCUGGGCAGUUGCUGACACUGAGGCGCGACAGCGUGGGGAGCAAACAGG